This 104-nucleotide unclassified non-coding RNA is filed under the name Echinococcus granulosus. RNAcentral describes it as "spliced leader RNA". The record is from RNAcentral. Lineage: Eukaryota; Metazoa; Platyhelminthes; Cestoda; Cyclophyllidea; Taeniidae.
CACCGUUAAUCGGUCCUUACCUUGCAAUUUUGUAUGGUGAGUAUCGAUGCAGCUCAGGCUGUGCCUACGAGCUGACCCAGUAUUUGGCUGGUCCUUCGAGGGCC